AGCUCGUGAGGUCGUUUAUAUAUAUGCACAUCGGUGCAUCAGAUUGUAACAUCGUGGAGAAAACCAGAAAAUCAAUAAAGAAAAAAGAACAAGGCACGACACGUGCCUUUGGCCAUCAAUUUUCUGUGGGCGUGUGUUCGUGUGAUUUGAUGUGAUCGAUCCUGUGGGCAAAUUUCCAAUAAUUGGUAUCAGAGCAAGGUUUGAGUCAAGCUGCGCUUGCCCCGGGGUGGCGACCCUGCUAGCGCCUCGGGGCGGGCAAUAGAGUCGUUGUUGUAGCAAUGGAGAGGAGCAGGCGAUACAGUCGCUGGUGUAGCGACAACGAGGAGCGGGCGAUAUAGUCGCUGGGAUGCAGUGACGAGGAGGAGCAGACAAUUGUCGUUCGAGCGGCGACAAGGAGGAUCGGGCAGUUGUCGUUCGGCGGAGCGGCGACAAGAAGGCGGCGAUGACGCUGUCGCAAGCGAAGCAACAGGGCUGUCAUCGGCAAGGCGUUGGUGGUCGUUGAUGGUUAUGGAGGUGCCAAAGUUGCAACACCGAGAAAAUCAUCGAGAUCAUCGUUGGAGGGUGCAAGGUGGAGAUGGCGAAGUUGCGAGCCAUCAUCAAGGUGUGCACAUGAGUUCUUGUAAGGUGCGUCCAAGAUCUCAGGUGUGUAAGUCUUCUGCUGCAGUUGAGACGCGUCACUGGCGGAGGAGAAUUGAGAGCGAGAGCAGAUGGAAAAAGAAAUUUGUGCCUUGCGUUUCCGUUCGUGAUCAAGGAGUUCCGGCGAGUUCGUAUACGGUGGAGAUGAGUUGCACGUAUAUGGCGAGUUGUGUUGCCGCUGGACAGGAGGUGUCGUUUGGUAAGUUGUGUCACCAAUGAUAAAGAAAAAAAGAUGUGGCGGGUGAAUAGAUGUGUGUUCCCGUGUGCAAGUAGUCGACGAGAAGAUGAAGAUCAACGUGAAGAUGGACGCGCACCAGUUAAGUUGAGUUCCUGCAUAAGGCUAUGCGUUUAGUCUGCAUGUAGCACGCUAAGAUGUGGCAGCGUGGCUGGUAGUCCGGAUAAUCGUUGUUUUCAGUCUACAAGUCGGCAUGAAAAAGAUGGUGAUCAAGUGGUGGCCAUCAUUACAAGGAGAGAAGUUGUGGCCCGGUACGUCGCGUCACCGAAGGCAAUCAGCGGGACAAGAUGAAGAGGUGAUCGUCUGCGUGUCUCGUUGGAUAAAGAGUCGGAUGUUUGGAUUAGGGGGUGAUUGUUGGGAUAAUCCAAAUAAUGCUUGAGUUAGUUUUGUGUAAUCGUGAUCAAGCUGGCCGGGUAAUUAAGUAGGUAAGUUGAGAUGUACGUGGAGUGGUCGGUUUGCAAGCCGUCUAGUAUUUAGAAUUAGCAUGCUGCCCGUGUCCUAGUUAGGUUCCAACGUGAAUCCAGCUAAGAGCAGUUGUUUGAAUCGGUUUAGGUUAGCUAGCUAGCUCGUGAGGUCGUUUAUAUAUAUGCACAUCGGUGCAUCAGAUUGUAACAUCAUGGAGCAAACCAGAAAAUCAAUAAAGAAAAAAAAACAAGGCACGACCCGUGCCUUUGGCCAUCAAUUUUCUGUGGGCAUGUGUUCAUGUGAUUUGAUGUGAUCGAUCGUGGACGAAUUUCCAACAGUAACCGGCCCGCAGUGGUCCUCCAUGCCGCC
Molecule: long non-coding RNA, 1645 nt
Filed under: Triticum aestivum (bread wheat)
Lineage: Eukaryota; Viridiplantae; Streptophyta; Magnoliopsida; Poales; Poaceae
Description: long non-coding RNA (TAES_LNC005489)
Source: RNAcentral